CCUACGGGUGGCAGCAGUGAGGAAUAUUGGUCAAUGGACGAAAGUCUGAACCAGCCAAGUAGCGUGAGGGAUGAAGGCCCUGUGGGUUGUAAACUUCUUUUAUCCAGGAAUAAAACGAGGCACGUGUGCGUUUUUGCGUGUACUUUAUGAAUAAGCAUCGGCUAACUCCGUGCCAGCAGCCGCGGUAAUACGGAGGAUCCGAGCGUUAUCCGGAUUUAUUGGGUUUAAAGGGAGCGUAGAGGGGUUGUUAAGUCAGUUGUGAAAGUUUGCGGCUCAACCGCAAAAUUGCAAUUGAUACUGGCAGUCUUGAGUACAGUGGAGGUAGGCGGAAUUCGUGGUGUAGCGGUGAAAUGCUUAGAUAUCACGAAGAACCCCGAUUGCGAAGGCAGCUUACUAAACUGUGACUGACAUUGAGGCUCGAAAGUGUGGGUAUCAAACAGGAUUAGAUACCCCUGUAGUC
Molecule: ribosomal RNA, 460 nt
Filed under: uncultured bacterium
Lineage: Bacteria
Description: partial 16S ribosomal RNA
Rfam family: Bacterial small subunit ribosomal RNA
Source: RNAcentral